Molecule: transfer RNA, 73 nt
Filed under: Bos taurus (domestic cattle)
Lineage: Eukaryota; Metazoa; Chordata; Mammalia; Artiodactyla; Bovidae
Rfam family: tRNA
About the family: Transfer RNA (tRNA) molecules are approximately 80 nucleotides in length. Their secondary structure includes four short double-helical elements and three loops (D, anti-codon, and T loops).
Source: Rfam by way of RNAcentral
UCCCUGAUGGUCCAGUGGUUAAGACUCUGCACUUCCAAUGCAGGGGGUGUGGGUUUGAUCUUUGAUUGGGGAA